This 459-nucleotide ribosomal RNA is filed under the name uncultured bacterium. Its description in RNAcentral is "partial 16S ribosomal RNA". It matches the Rfam family "Bacterial small subunit ribosomal RNA", at positions 338 to 795 of the family's 1533-position model. The record is from RNAcentral.
CCUACGGGUGGCAGCAGUGAGGACUAUUGGUCAAUGGGCGGGAGCCUGAACCAGCCAAGUCGCGUGAGGGAUGACGGCCCUAUGGGUUGUACACCUCUUUUGCCGGGGAACAAAGUGCCGCACGUGUGCGGUUUGGAGAGUACCCGGAGAAAAAGCAUCGGCUAACUCCGUGCCAGCAGCAGCGGUAAUACGGAGGAUGCGAGCGUUAUCCCGCUUUAUUGGGUUUAAAGGGUGCGUAGGCGGACGAUUAAGUCAGCGGUAAAAUUGCGGGGCUCAAACUCGUCGAGGCGUUUAAACUGGGUGCCUUGAUGGGGCGAGAAGUACGCGGAAUGCGGGGUGUAGCGGUGAAAUGCAUAGAUAUCACGCAGAACUCAGAUUGCGAAGGCAGCGUACCGGCGCCCAACUGACGCUGAAGCACGAAGGCGUGGGUAUCGAACAGGAUUAGAUACCCGUGUAGUC